UGUGUGUGUGGGGGUGGGGUGUGUAGGGGCUGUAUAUAGACUGUGUUGGGGACUGUGUAUAGACUGUGUGUAUAGGCUGUAUAUAGGCUGUGUACAGGCUGUGUGGGAGGCUGUGUAUUAGACUGUGUGGAGGGCUGUGUGUAUAGGCUGUAUAUAGGCUGUGUAGGGAGCUGUGUAUAGGCUGUGUAUAGACUGUGUGGGGGGCUGUGUAUAGGCUGUGUAGGGGGCUGUGUAGGGGAGGCCUGAAUACUACACCAUAUAGUGCCACCCCCCCACCACAAGUGCCACCACCACCACAAGUGCCACCCCCACCACCACAAGUGCCACCCCCCCUACCACAAGUGCCACCACCACAAAUGCCACCCCCACCACAAGUGCCUCCGUCAUGUGUAUCCAACACCUGUGUACCAGUGCCUCCAUCAGGUGUGUCCUACACCUGUGUAUCAGUGCCUCCAUCAGGUGUGUCCUACACCUGUGUAUCAGUGCCUCCAUCAGGUGUGUCCUACCCCCUGUGUACCAGUGCCUCCAUCAGGUGUGUCCUACACCUGUGUACCAGUGCCUCCGUCAGGUGUGUCCUACACCUGUGUACCAGUGCCUCCAUCAGGUGUGUCCUACACCUGUGUACCAGUGCCUCCAUCAGGUGUGUCCUACACCUGUGUACCAGUGCCUUCGUCAGGUGUGUCCUACACCUGUGUACCAGUGCCUCCGUCAGUAACAGGACCCCAAACCUUCCCCUGGACCAGGUUAAGGUUGUCCUGGUCCUGUCUAGGUCCCCCGCGGGGCAGCCCCAGAUGAAAGUGCCUGAGGGAGGUCCCGAGGGCCUCCUGCGAGUGCCACUUGUAGUCCCUCUCUGUGGUUGACACUAUAAUUGCUCACUGAGUGCCUCUUGCGCUGUGAUGUUGACGUAAAUGUUGGUAUAAAUGUUCGGUUGUAAGUAAACUAAUGUGAGCUUGUCAGUACUAUGAGUGUGUGCAAUAAACUAUAUUCUCAGA
Molecule: non-coding RNA, 992 nt
Organism: Procambarus clarkii (red swamp crayfish)
Lineage: Eukaryota; Metazoa; Arthropoda; Malacostraca; Decapoda; Cambaridae
Source: RefSeq, a predicted model, not a curated record